This 417-nucleotide unclassified non-coding RNA is filed under the name uncultured Sebacina. RNAcentral describes it as "sequence contains ITS2". The stretch from base 1 to 154 matches the Rfam family "5.8S ribosomal RNA". Lineage: Eukaryota; Fungi; Basidiomycota; Agaricomycetes; Sebacinales; Sebacinaceae. The record is from RNAcentral.
AACUUUUAGCAAUGGGUCUCUUGGCUCUCGCAUCGAUGAAGAACGCAGCGAAAUGCGAUAAGUAAUGUGAAUUGCAGAAUUCAGUGAAUCAUCGAAUCUUUGAACGCACCUUGCACCCUUUGGCAUUCCGAAGGGUAUGCUCGUUUGAGUGUCAUUGUACUCUCACACUCCCGAUGCUUUUGGAUUGGGAGUGGUGGACUUGGGUGUUGCUGCUUUACUGUGGCUCACCUCAAAUGGAGUAGUGCAACUCUUGGUUGGACAUAGUACGGCGUGAUAAGUGUCUUCGCCGGCGCCUCAUUAGAGGGUGGCCGAUCGGGAGCUCUGUGCUUCAAACCGUCUUCGGACAACAUCUGACAACUUGACCUCAAAUCGAGUAGGACUACCCGCUGAACUUAAGCAUAUCAAUAAGCGGAGGCU